This 698-nucleotide ribosomal RNA is filed under the name Jamesreidia coronata. Its description in RNAcentral is "eukaryotic LSU rRNA". It matches the Rfam family "Eukaryotic large subunit ribosomal RNA", at positions 148 to 873 of the family's 3401-position model. Lineage: Eukaryota; Fungi; Ascomycota; Sordariomycetes; Ophiostomatales; Ophiostomataceae. The record is from RNAcentral.
AUUUGGAGAGGAUGCUUUUGGCGCGGCGCCGUCCGAGUUCCUUGGAACAGGACGCCGGAGAGGGUGAGAGCCCCGUACGGACGGACGCCUAGCCUCUACAAAGCUCCUUCGACGAGUCGAGUAGUUUGGGAAUGCUGCUCUAAAUGGGAGGUAAAUUUCUUCUAAAGCUAAAUACCGGCCAGAGACCGAUAGCGCACAAGUAGAGUGAUCGAAAGAUGAAAAGCACUUUGAAAAGAGGGUUAAACAGUACGUGAAAUUGUUGAAAGGGAAGCGCCUGUGACCAGACUUGCGCCCCGCGGACCAACCGGCGCUCCGCGCCGGUGCACUCCGCGGGGGGCAGGCCAGCAUCGGUUCUCCCAGGGGGACAAAGGCCGCGGGAACGUAGCUCCCUCGGGAGUGUUACAGCCCGCGGCGGCAUGCCCCUGGGGGGACCGAGGACCGCGCUUCGGCAAGGAUGCUGGCGUAAUGGUCACCAGCGACCCGUCUUGAAACACGGAUCAAGGAGUCAAGCAUUGGGGCGAGUGUUUGGGUGUCAAACCCGCACGCGAAAUGAAAGUAAACGCAGGGGAGAGCUUCGGCGCACCCCCGACCGAUCCUGAUGUCUUCGGAUGGAUUUGAGUAAGAGCCUUACCGCUUGGACCCGAAAGAUGGUGAACUAUGCCUGUGUAGGGUGAAGCCAGAGGAAACUCUGGUGGAGG